This 482-nucleotide ribosomal RNA is filed under the name uncultured bacterium. RNAcentral describes it as "partial 16S ribosomal RNA". It matches the Rfam family "Bacterial small subunit ribosomal RNA", at positions 30 to 507 of the family's 1533-position model. The record is from RNAcentral.
AUUGAACGCUGGCGGCAUGCUUUACACAUGCAAGUCGAACGGUAACAGGCCGCAAGGUGCUGACGAGUGGCGAACGGGUGAGUAAUGCAUCGGAACGUGCCCAGUCGUGGGGGAUAACUACUCGAAAGAGUAGCUAAUACCGCAUACGAUCUAUGGAUGAAAGCGGGGGACCGUAAGGCCUCGCGCGAUUGGAGCGGCCGAUGUCAGAUUAGGUAGUUGGUGGGGUAAAGGCUCACCAAGCCAACGAUCUGUAGCUGGUCUGAGAGGACGACCAGCCACACUGGGACUAAGACACGGCCCAGACUCCUACGGGAGGCAGCAGUGGGGAAUUUUGGACAAUGGGCGCAAGCCUGAUCCAGCAAUGCCGCGUGCAGGAAGAAGGCCUUCGGGUUGUAAACUGCUUUUGUACGGAACGAAACGGCUCUGGUUAAUACCCGGGGCUAAUGACGGUACCGUAAGAAUAAGCACCGGCUAACUACGUG